UGCCUACGGGGGGCAGCAGUGGGGAAUAUUGCACAAUGGGGGAAACCCUGAUGCAGCGACGCCGCGUGAGUGAAGAAGUAUCUCGGUACGUAAAGCUCUAUCAGCAGGGAAGAAAAUGACGGUACCUGACUAAGAAGCCCCGGCUAACUACGUGCCAGCAGCCGCGGUAAUACGUAGGGGGCAAGCGUUAUCCGGAUUUACUGGGUGUAAAGGGAGCGUAGACGGCAGCACAAGUCUGGAGUGAAAGGUACCGGCUCAACCGGUACAGGCUCUGGAAACUGGCGGGCUAGAGAGCAGGAGAGGGG
RNAcentral lists this ribosomal RNA (305 nucleotides) under uncultured bacterium. Its description in RNAcentral is "bacterial SSU rRNA". It matches the Rfam family "Bacterial small subunit ribosomal RNA", at positions 335 to 659 of the family's 1533-position model. The record is from RNAcentral.